CGUUCGCCGGAAGACCAAGGGUUCCUGUCCAACGUUAAUCGGGGCAGGGUGAGUCGGCCCCUAAGGCGAGGCUGAAAAGCGUAGUCGAUGGGAAACGGGUUAAUAUUCCCGUACUUGGAUAAACUGCGAUGUGGGGACGGAGCAGGUUAGGUUAUCGCACUGUUGGAUAUGUGCGUUUAAGUUGGUAGGUGUGAAGUUUAGGCAAAUCCGGACUUCUUUAACACUGAGAGAUGAUGACGAGGCUCUACGGAGCUGAAGUAACCGAUACCACACUUCCAGGAAAAGCCACUAAGCUUCAGGUUUAUCUAAACCGUACUGAAAACCGACACAGGUGGUCAGGUAGAGAAUACUCAGGCGCUUGAGAGAACUCGGGUGAAGGAACUAGGCAAAAUAGCACCGUAACUUCGGGAGAAGGUGCGCCGGCGUAGAUUGUAGUCCCUAGCGGGCGAAGGUUGAACCGGUCGAAGAUACCAGCUGGCUGCAACUGUUUAUUAAAAACACAGCACUCUGCAAACACGAAAGUGGACGUAUAGGGUGUGAUGCCUGCCCGGUGCUGGAAGGUUAAUUGAUGGUGUAAUCGAAAGAGAAGCUCCUGAUCGAAGCCCCAGUAAACGGCGGCCGUAACUAUAACGGUCCUAAGGUAGCGAAAUUCCUUGUCGGGUAAGUUCCGACCUGCACGAAUGGCAUAAUGAUGGCCAGGCUGUCUCCACCCGAGACUCAGUGAAAUUGAAAUCGCCGUGAAGAUGCGGUGUACCCGCGGCUAGACGGAAAGACCCCGUGAACCUUUACUAUAGCUUGACACUGAACAUUGAAUUUUGAUGUGUAGGAUAGGUGGGAGACUUUGAAGUAGUCACGCCAGUGAUUAUGGAGUCGUCCUUGAAAUACCACCCUUUAACGUUUGAUGUUCUAACGAAGAUUACGAAACGUGGUCUCGGACAGUGUCUGGUGGGUAGUUUGACUGGGGCGGUCUCCUCCCAAAGAGUAACGGAGGAGCACGAAGGUUUGCUAAUCACGGUCGGACAUCGUGAGGUUAGUGCAAUGGUAUAAGCAAGCUUAACUGCGAGACAGACAAGUCGAGCAGGUACGAAAGUAGGUCAUAGUGAUCCGGUGGUUCUGAAUGGAAGGGCCAUCGCUCAACGGAUAAAAGGUACUCCGGGGAUAACAGGCUGAUACCGCCCAAGAGUUCAUAUCGACGGCGGUGUUUGGCAC
This 1209-nucleotide ribosomal RNA is filed under the name human oral metagenome. RNAcentral's name for it is "bacterial LSU rRNA". It matches the Rfam family "Bacterial large subunit ribosomal RNA", at positions 1331 to 2524 of the family's 2925-position model. The record is from RNAcentral.